This 1240-nucleotide ribosomal RNA is filed under the name Staphylococcus aureus. RNAcentral's name for it is "partial 23S ribosomal RNA". It matches the Rfam family "Bacterial large subunit ribosomal RNA", at positions 1302 to 2538 of the family's 2925-position model. Lineage: Bacteria; Bacillati; Bacillota; Bacilli; Caryophanales; Staphylococcaceae. The record is from RNAcentral.
GUGAGUAGCGAAAGACGGGUGAGAAUCCCGUCCACCGAUUGACUAAGGUUUCCAGAGGAAGGCUCGUCCGCUCUGGGUUAGUCGGGUCCUAAGCUGAGGCCGACAGGCGUAGGCGAUGGAUAACAGGUUGAUAUUCCUGUACCACCUAUAAUCGUUUUAAUCGAUGGGGGGACGCAGUAGGAUAGGCGAAGCGUGCGAUUGGAUUGCACGUCUAAGCAGUAAGGCUGAGUAUUAGGCAAAUCCGGUACUCGUUAAGGCUGAGCUGUGAUGGGGAGAAGACAUUGUGUCUUCGAGUCGUUGAUUUCACACUGCCGAGAAAAGCCUCUAGAUAGAAAAUAGGUGCCCGUACCGCAAACCGACACAGGUAGUCAAGAUGAGAAUUCUAAGGUGAGCGAGCGAACUCUCGUUAAGGAACUCGGCAAAAUGACCCCGUAACUUCGGGAGAAGGGGUGCUCUUUAGGGUUAACGCCCAGAAGAGCCGCAGUGAAUAGGCCCAAGCGACUGUUUAUCAAAAACACAGGUCUCUGCUAAACCGUAAGGUGAUGUAUAGGGGCUGACGCCUGCCCGGUGCUGGAAGGUUAAGAGGAGUGGUUAGCUUCUGCGAAGCUACGAAUCGAAGCCCCAGUAAACGGCGGCCGUAACUAUAACGGUCCUAAGGUAGCGAAAUUCCUUGUCGGGUAAGUUCCGACCCGCACGAAAGGCGUAACGAUUUGGGCACUGUCUCAACGAGAGACUCGGUGAAAUCAUAGUACCUGUGAAGAUGCAGGUUACCCGCGACAGGACGGAAAGACCCCGUGGAGCUUUACUGUAGCCUGAUAUUGAAAUUCGGCACAGCUUGUACAGGAUAGGUAGGAGCCUUUGAAACGUGAGCGCUAGCUUACGUGGAGGCGCUGGUGGGAUACUACCCUAGCUGUGUUGGCUUUCUAACCCGCACCACUUAUCGUGGUGGGAGACAGUGUCAGGCGGGCAGUUUGACUGGGGCGGUCGCCUCCUAAAAGGUAACGGAGGCGCUCAAAGGUUCCCUCAGAAUGGUUGGAAAUCAUUCAUAGAGUGUAAAGGCAUAAGGGAGCUUGACUGCGAGACCUACAAGUCGAGCAGGGUCGAAAGACGGACUUAGUGAUCCGGUGGUUCCGCAUGGAAGGGCCAUCGCUCAACGGAUAAAAGCUACCCCGGGGAUAACAGGCUUAUCUCCCCCAAGAGUUCACAUCGACGGGGAGGUUUGGCACCUCGAUGUCGGCUC